RNAcentral lists this ribosomal RNA (479 nucleotides) under Streptococcus salivarius. RNAcentral's name for it is "bacterial SSU rRNA". It matches the Rfam family "Bacterial small subunit ribosomal RNA", at positions 28 to 491 of the family's 1533-position model. Lineage: Bacteria; Bacillati; Bacillota; Bacilli; Lactobacillales; Streptococcaceae. The record is from RNAcentral.
GACGAACGCUGGCGGCGUGCCUAAUACAUGCAAGUAGAACGCUGAAGGGAGGAGCUUGCUCUUCUUGGAUGAGUUGCGAACGGGUGAGUAACGCGUAGGUAACCUGCCUUGUAGCGGGGGAUAACUAUUGGAAACGAUAGCUAAUACCGCAUAACAAUGGAUGACCCAUGUCAUUUAUUUGAAAGGGGCAAAUGCUCCACUACAAGAUGGACCUGCGUUGUAUUAGCUAGUAGGUGAGGUAACGGCUCACCUAGGCGACGAUACAUAGCCGACCCGAGAGGGUGAUCGGCCACACUGGGACUGAGACACGGCCCAGACUCCUACGGGAGGCAGCAGUAGGGAAUCUUCGGCAAUGGGGGCAACCCUGACCGAGCAACGCCGCGUGAGUGAAGAAGGUUUUCGGAUCGUAAAGCUCUGUUGUAAGUCAAGAACGAGUGUGAGAGUGGAAAGUUCACACUGGACGGUAGCUACCAGAAAGG